CUCGUAGGCGGCCAACUAAGUCAGACGUGAAAUCCCUCGGCUUAACCGGGGAACUGCGUCUGAUACUGGAUGGCUUGAAUCCGGGAGAGGGAUGCGGAAUUCCAGGUGUAGCGGUGAAAUGCGUAGAUAUCGGGAGGAACACCAGUGGCGAAGGCGGCCUUCUGGACGGAUACUGACGCUGAGACGCGAAAGCUAGGGGAGCAAACG
Molecule: ribosomal RNA, 207 nt
Filed under: uncultured bacterium
Lineage: Bacteria
Description: partial 16S ribosomal RNA
Rfam family: Bacterial small subunit ribosomal RNA
Source: RNAcentral